Molecule: ribosomal RNA, 410 nt
Filed under: uncultured Methylomirabilota bacterium
Lineage: Bacteria; Methylomirabilota (SeqCode)
Description: bacterial SSU rRNA
Rfam family: Bacterial small subunit ribosomal RNA
Source: RNAcentral
AGCGUGGAGACAGGUGGUGCAUGGCUGUCGUCAGCUCGUGUCGUGAGAUGUUGGGUUAAGUCCCGCAACGAGCGCAACCCUCACCCUUUGUUGCCAUCAGGUUAUGCUGGGCACUCUAAGGGAACUGCCUCGGUUAACGAGGAGGAAGGUGGGGAUGACGUCAAGUCAUCAUGCCCCUUACGCUCUGGGCUACACACGUGCUACAAUGGCCAAUACAAAGGGCUGCAAACCCGCGAGGGCAAGCCAAUCCCAAAAAAUUGGUCUCAGUUCAGAUUGUAGGCUGCAACCCGCCUGCAUGAAGGAGGAAUCGCUAGUAAUCGUGGAUCAGCAUGCCACGGUGAAUACGUUCCCGGGCCUUGUACACACCGCCCGUCACACCACGAAAGUCUGCUGUACUCGAAGUCGCUGAG